Molecule: long non-coding RNA, 479 nt
Organism: Eriocheir sinensis (Chinese mitten crab)
Lineage: Eukaryota; Metazoa; Arthropoda; Malacostraca; Decapoda; Varunidae
Exons: 3
Source: RefSeq, a predicted model, not a curated record
CUGACCUCGUAGAACCCGACCACUCCUCACACCAGUCAUCCGCGCCUCACUUGGCCCUUCCUCAAGAAGACGCAAACACUCCAACUGUUGCUCCAACUCCUCUCCCUGGACGUGACGUGACCAUCUGCGCCUCACUUGCCCCUUCCUCAAGAAGACACAAAAGGAAUGGAGGGGAAGAAACCCCGUAAGGCCAACUUCUCCGAGGCUGAAGUGUUGGCAAUGGUCACGGCCAUCCGUGACAAUUAUAAUAUCCUUUUUGGUAAAUUGUCUGCGGGGACAACCCAUUACACCAAAUUGGCAGCCUGGGGAGAGAUCCAAGAAGCUGUGAAUGCAGUGGGGCGGGUUCACCGCGACAUCGAAGAAAUUAAAACAAAAUUCAAGCACCUCAAGUCCGACGUCAAGAGAAAAAGGGCGAAGGACCUUCAUUAUCAAAAAGGAACAGGUAUGUUGAUAGAUUAUCACUGGAGAGCAUUAUGAUA